GUGUUGUAUGAAAGGAGAGAAGGUUAGCACUCCCCUUGACAAGGAUGGAAGAGACCUUCGGGUCUAACAACACGCAUACGGUUAAGGCAUUGCCACUUACUUCGUGGCAUCUAACCACUGUUUUUU
Small nuclear RNA from Delphinapterus leucas (beluga whale), 126 nucleotides. NCBI's taxonomy places the organism in Eukaryota, Metazoa, Chordata, Mammalia, Artiodactyla, Monodontidae. The record is from Ensembl.